RNAcentral lists this unclassified non-coding RNA (262 nucleotides) under fungal sp. RNAcentral's name for it is "partial internal transcribed spacer region". The stretch from base 1 to 46 matches the Rfam family "Eukaryotic small subunit ribosomal RNA", at positions 1786 to 1831 of the family's 1831-position model. Lineage: Eukaryota; Fungi. The record is from RNAcentral.
AAGUCGUAACAAGGUUUCCGUAGGUGAACCUGCGGAAGGAUCAUUACAAAUCCACUCAUAUGACAACGUUGAACCAUGGGGGGGGGUGCUGGGGUGCUAGGGUGUUGUUGCUGCUGCUGACGCUGCUGCUACAGCUGCUGACGCGCACACACGCCCGCACGCACGCCCGCCCACAAUAAGACAAACCACUGCUACACAAGGCACAAUCUAUCCAAUGACAACAACCUAGAAACAACUUACAACAAUGGAUCUCUAGGCUCUU